This 77-nucleotide transfer RNA is filed under the name Rhodospirillaceae bacterium. RNAcentral's name for it is "tRNA-Arg". It matches the Rfam family "tRNA". Rfam says of the family: Transfer RNA (tRNA) molecules are approximately 80 nucleotides in length. Their secondary structure includes four short double-helical elements and three loops (D, anti-codon, and T loops). The record is from RNAcentral. Lineage: Bacteria; Pseudomonadati; Pseudomonadota; Alphaproteobacteria; Rhodospirillales; Rhodospirillaceae.
GCGCCCGUAGCUCAGCUGGAUAGAGCACCGGAUUUCUAAUCCGGAUGUCGCAGGUUCGAGUCCUGCCGGGCGCGCCA